CGUCCAGGGUUUGCCUGGGACUGAGGCAUUUCCCAGGACCCUGGACUGCCAGUGCUAAAGCCAG
This 64-nucleotide microRNA precursor is filed under the name Tursiops truncatus (common bottlenose dolphin). RNAcentral's name for it is "miRNA (ENSTTRG00000024361.1)". The record is from RNAcentral. Lineage: Eukaryota; Metazoa; Chordata; Mammalia; Artiodactyla; Delphinidae.